Molecule: ribosomal RNA, 266 nt
Filed under: uncultured bacterium
Lineage: Bacteria
Description: partial 16S ribosomal RNA
Rfam family: Bacterial small subunit ribosomal RNA
Source: RNAcentral
GUCCACGCUGUAACGAUGAUCACUAGAUGUUGGUUCGGUUCGCCGGAUCAGUGUCGAAGCUAACGCGUUAAGUGAUCCGCCUGGGAAGUACGGUCGCAAGAUUAAACUCAAAGAAAUUGACGGGGCCCGCACAAGCGGUGGAACAUGUGGUUUAAUUCGACACUACGCGAGAAACCUUACCUAGGCUUGACAUGUAACUGCUACCGGUGGAAACAUCGGGUUCUAUAGUAAUAUAGACGGUUACACAGGUGCUGCAUGGCUGUCGU